Rattus norvegicus (Norway rat) is the source of this 1580-nucleotide non-coding RNA. NCBI's taxonomy places the organism in Eukaryota, Metazoa, Chordata, Mammalia, Rodentia, Muridae. The record is from RefSeq and is a predicted model, not a curated record.
CCUUCAGUGUUCUUUUGCCCCUCCCUUUAUUCCCUCUCUACCCUUCUCUUCCAUUUCUCCCUCUCUACUUAACUCUUGUUUUAGUUUUCUCCUUUGUUUCUCCACAGCACGAACUCUAUUUCUUCUUCCUUAGGAGGUCCUCUCAUCCUGUCUGGUCCCUUACUAGGUACCUAACCCCUGUGGUUAUUUGAAUUGUAGGACACAUAUCAAAGGCUUGAAUGAUAGCAUCCACGCGUAAGAGAAAACACAUGACAUUUGUUUUGGGGGCUCUGGGUCCCCUCACUCAGGAUUAUUUUUUUUUUCUAUCUCCAUUCAUUUGCUUGCAAAUGUCCUAAUCUUGCUUUCCUUAACAGCGGGAACAACACUCAACUGUGUAGACAUUCAUCCUUUUCACCAUGUAGUCAUCUGUUGAGCGAUGUCUUGGCCAGUUCCAAUUUCUGACUACUACAAACAGAGCAGCAACGAACACGGAUGGGCAAGUGUCUCUCGUUAAACCCCAAAGCUUAUCUACUAGGCUAGGCUGGCUGACUGAUGAGUUCCAGACAUCUGCCCAUCAGCCACCCCUGUCCCCAGCUGGGGUUACAAGCCACGCCUGGCUUUUGAUGUGGGUGUGGUUUUCUGAACUCCAUUCUUGCGCUUGCUUGGCAGGUACUCUGCCAGCUAAGCCAUCUCCCCUGCCCCUCGCUUUUAUUUUUAAACACAAGCAUCUAACCACAUGCAGAGUCUGGGGCUGGGCACUGAGGAAUGUGAAAUGAGACAAUGGAUUCUUUGUGAGUGAAUCAAGGAAGCUUCAUGACAGAGGUGAUGCUGGAGUCCACAUUGGAGGAGAAACAAGAAUCCAUUAUGAGGAGCCCAGAUCGUGGGGGAAAUUGCCUUCCACCACCCAUGUGUGGGUGACUCUGUGUAAACUGCUAGGUUGUUGACUCCCUAGGCCUUGCCUAGAAUUGGGCUACAGCCCAAUAACUUUAACCGACACUGGAAUGAUACUGAUGCAAUAGGAGGAACCCCCACUCUGAGAAUGGGCUCAGCAGCUUUUAUGAGAUGUCUCCAGUGAGGGUGACGUGGAAAUGAAGGGGGAAAAUUCCACAAAAAUGUGCAGAGCAUCAGAAAUAUGCUGGCAACGGUCGGAGAUGUGGCCAGGGCCUCUUGCCAGACAAGCAGGCAUGAGGCAGAAGCCAGAAAGGAGAGGAGAGCUGACUGCUGGUCAUGUGACCAGAAACGGGAGUCUCAGAAUCCCCCUCCCCUGACCAGUGGACCCCGUCAGACUGUCUCAGUCUGAUGGAGCUGCAUACACAGCCUUUUGAGGAAAACGGUCAAAGAUGGAUAGACAUUCCAUGUUCAUGAAUUGGAAGACUCAAGGCAGCGCUCCCUUCUCUGUACCUUCACAUCUCUAGCAAAAGUUCUAAUCAAACCUGGCUGGAGAGAUGGCUCAGCGGUUAAGAGCACUGACUGUUCUUCCAGAGGUCCUGAGUUCAAUUCCCAGCAAUCACAUGGUGUCUCACAACCAUCUGUAACGGGAUCCGAUGCCUUCUUCUGGUGUCUGAAGAUAUAGCUACAGUGUAUUCAUAUACAUAAUAAAG